This 823-nucleotide long non-coding RNA is filed under the name Malus domestica (apple). RNAcentral describes it as "long non-coding RNA (MDOM_LNC014158)". The record is from RNAcentral. Lineage: Eukaryota; Viridiplantae; Streptophyta; Magnoliopsida; Rosales; Rosaceae.
UGGCUAUUCAUCCUAUCCGACAAAAAUAGUCAGUACAGUCCGAGCUGCCAAACGAGGCCUUAAAGUUUCAGCAAGCGGUGGUUAGCGUCUUCAUAGUAAUUUCCGGCAAGCAGUGGUCUAGUUAUUAAAUCACAGCAUUCAGAGUUUAACACCUUCAAAGCUUUAGGGUUUGUUUGAAAAGUGUUUUUAAAAUAACUAAAAACGCUUUUAAUAACAAGAUUUUUUGAAUUAGUCCUUAAUAAAAGUUCAAGUGGAUACUAGAUAUCCACUUUAAUUGUUUUAUACAAGAAGUACAUAUCUGAUUUAUCUGAUUUAUUCCAAAAAAACACUUACAUUGCGUUUGGAUACGGUAAAAUAAAGCAGAAUUUCACCUAAAUUAGGGAAUUUAGGAUGGGAAAGCAGUUUUCCCUCGUUUGGGAACCUUGCAGCGCGAGAAACGGCAUUUCUAAGGGAAAAAAGGUGGAAAUUGGAGAUGAAGAUUUCUGAGUUUAAUUUCUGUCUAAAGAUGUGUAAUUUCACAAUUCCAACAAUGAUGAGAAUCCUAAAUUCAUCUGCAGGGAAAUUUAAUUUCAGGAUUAGGGCGCCAAACUAGGAUGUAUACUGCCAAAUUUCACACUAAAAGAAGGGUUGCAUCUUCACUUUGUUAACUCUCCAAUCUUAAAAGAGAUUUUUCGGUCGUGCAAUCAUCUUCUUCCUUUGUUCUUCUAGGUCAGUGUCUUUCCUCUCUUCUUUCUUGAAUUAUUUUUAGCUUUCUGGGUACACUCAUUAUAUAAUUGUGAAUUUUGCUGAUAGUUUUAUUUUUGGUGUGCUUAUUAUGUUUUUU